This 211-nucleotide unclassified non-coding RNA is filed under the name fungal sp. RNAcentral's name for it is "partial internal transcribed spacer region". The stretch from base 1 to 46 matches the Rfam family "Eukaryotic small subunit ribosomal RNA", at positions 1786 to 1831 of the family's 1831-position model. The record is from RNAcentral. Lineage: Eukaryota; Fungi.
AAGUCGUAACAAGGUAACCGUAGGUGAACCUGCGGUUGGAUCAUUAACAAAAUGAUAAAAGUUCAGACGAAAGUCUGGGCUUUUAUAAACACCUGUGAACUGUAAUUGUAUCUGGUGGACCUAGUCCACCGUUAUGAACUUUUAUAUCUUGAAUUAGUUUAUAAAUUUUAAUAAUUUAAAACAACUUUUGACAACGGAUCUCUAGGCUCUC